ACGGGUGAGUAACGCGUGGGAACAUACCUUUUGGUUCGGAACAACACAGGGAAACUUGUGCUAAUACCGGAUAAGCCCUUACGGGGAAAGAUUUAUCGCCGAAAGAUUGGCCCGCGUCUGAUUAGCUAGUUGGUGAGGUAAUGGCUCACCAAGGCGACGAUCAGUAGCUGGUCUGAGAGGAUGAUCAGCCACAUUGGGACUGAGACACGGCCCAAACUCCUACGGGAGGCAGCAGUGGGGAAUAUUGGACAAUGGGGGCAACCCUGAUCCAGCCAUGCCGCGUGAGUGAUGAAGGCCCUAGGGUUGUAAAGCUCUUUUGUGCGGGAAGAUAAUGACGGUACCGCAAGAAUAAGCCCCGGCUAACUUCGUGCCAGCAGCCGCGGUAAUACGAAGGGGGCUAGCGUUGCUCGGAAUCACUGGGCGUAAAGGGUGCGUAGGCGGGUCUUUAAGUCAGGGGUGAAAUCCUGGAGCUCAACUCCAGAACUGCCUUUGAUACUGAAGAUCUUGAGUCCGGGAGAGGUGAGUGGAACUGCGAGUGUAGAGGUGAAAUUCGUAGA
RNAcentral lists this ribosomal RNA (557 nucleotides) under uncultured bacterium. RNAcentral describes it as "bacterial SSU rRNA". It matches the Rfam family "Bacterial small subunit ribosomal RNA", at positions 102 to 694 of the family's 1533-position model. The record is from RNAcentral.